UACAGAGGUCCCGAGCGUUGUUCGGAUUCACUGGGCGUAAAGGGUGCGUAGGUGGUGAGGUAAGUCGGAUGUGAAAUCUCCAAGCUCAACUUGGAAAUGGCAUUGGAAACUACCUUGCUGGAGGUUUGGAGGGGGGACUGGAAUUCUCGGUGUAGCGGUGAAAUGCGUAGAUAUCAAGAGGAACACCUGAGGUGAAGACGGGUUGCUGGGCCAACACUGACGCUGAGGCGCGAAAGCCAGGGGAGCAAACGGG
RNAcentral lists this ribosomal RNA (253 nucleotides) under uncultured bacterium. Its description in RNAcentral is "partial 16S ribosomal RNA". It matches the Rfam family "Bacterial small subunit ribosomal RNA", at positions 524 to 776 of the family's 1533-position model. The record is from RNAcentral.